CGUCAGCGAAGCCAACGUGAAGGCUGCAUGUGCUUCGUGUCUGCCAAAACGGUUAAAAACAAGUUAAAGGUUUAAAAAACCAAAGUUUACCAUAUCCUAUAGCACCUGGUUGAUGAGGGAACAAGCUCUAUCAAGAUGACUGGGGAAGAGGGGCGGAAUAAGGUGCGUGAAACAGCUGCUCAGCGAGAGAGACCGGGUCAAAGGAAGGUGAUGGAUGGAAGUACUUGUGCAGCUUCAUAGAGACUUGGCGUCUUUCUGGAACGCGGCGCGCUUCAACAGAUGGUUUGGAAGCCCGUCUGUGGCGUUCCUGACUUUGACAUCAAAGUCUCAUCUGACGAUCAGGAAAGCUGUGACAGUUAUUGGCACACCUGAUGGCGGACCUGCCAUCAGUUGGACCGCGUUCAGGGCGGCGGACAGUUGGAUGGGGAAAGCUGCUAAAUGAUGCAGCAAAUCUCGGAAUGUACUUGCGGCAGCCGUGAAUGCAAAGGAACCGAGAACUUUCAAACUUGACAGUAAUCAGCUCAAAUCCUAAAAUACGCGCCUUCCUUUUGUCUGUCAGAGUAAAGACCAAUUAGACUAAUGGUUGAAGAAGAUGUCGCUUAGAUGCAGCUGAUAGAUCUUGAUUGUGAGACCUCUUUAUUUUCAUUUUUGUCGUCUCUGACUGCACUGUUGUGCUGCAUUUCAUAACCACUGUGUCACUGCUCUGAGACAUGGUGAUACUCACAUAAAGACUAAGCAACAAAGGCAUCUUAAAGAGUCUUGUAAAGGUACAGGAGUUAUUGUGAGCUGUUGAUCUUUUUUCAAUAGAUUUGCCGUGAUUAUGCAAACCAUAACCAUCAUCUUAAAACAAAUAUUUUCUCCUAAUAAAACACAUUGUUUCCCUAUAAACUGGACAAAAGACGCAUCAAUGUGAGCAGUCGUGUACAAGCUGUUCUUUUGGAUCUAUAGAUACACCCUUAUGUACAAAGGCUCUGCAUUUUACUGUACUGUGCCACACAGAGCACACAUUUUUCUCAGGAAGUGCAAUGCGGCAGCACCCUAAUGACACAAGCCACUUCAGACCCCCAUCCUGCUGAGACGCCUCCAGCUCGCAGAGCGCCAGCACCACCAAGUGGACAGGCAGGCUACUGCAGGGCCGGAGACACAGCGGCUGCCUGAUGAAGUGUGACAGGGUCAUUUAAUCUCCUGUAAAAACACAAACGGGGACUCGCGCACACUCAUUUGAUUUGUGACAUUUAUAAACAGCCGUUCUGAUGAGAUUUAAAGCAGCCGAGGAUGUAGAGCCAGAGGGAGAAACUCGGUUUAGAAAGAUUGCAUCCUGACACGCGAUACCAUGUUAGCCACUCACCAAUUUGCCUUUUGUUUGGUCAUUUUUUCAAUUCAUCUUUAACUUCCGAGAUUCAUUAUCUUUAAUGGGUUUUCUUAAAAAACAUAUUCACACCCACUGUUUACCUCAUAGGGCAUUUGGGUCAAUUAGACAACAAUGUUAUGCUGUGUUGACCCAAAUCUCCUUUGAUGUCAAUGAUAAUGAGGCAUUUGUGUUAAACUGACCCCAUAAAUGCUUUUCUUCACUUCAAGUACCUUUCAAUAAUGAAAUAAGCUGCACGAAAGAAAAAAAACAUAGGAUUUAGAUUAUAUUCAAUGAAAAUGACUCAAAAAAAAAGGUUAGAUUGAAUUAGUUUUGCAGAGUUCUUUGCCUCAGUUGACAUGUGGGUCAAUUUGACCCAGACUCCACACAUGAGUGACCAAAUCUUUGUUCAGUGUUUUUGGUCAAAUUCCUCCAAACAUCCUGUGGGAAAACUUGUUUGUGUUGCUUUUGGGUCAAAUUGACCCCCCCCCAUCCUUCUGGACCCCCAUGUGUUUAUGAAACCAGUGCAAAAGAAAAUAAAAAAAAACCUGACACACUAGAAUCUGAGCUAAUCUUUAGAAAGACAUAAUAACUAAAAAGAGUAUGAUUUCAAAACAACUUUGCAGAACUAUUUCUCAUAUAGGAUCCAUGGGUCAAUUUGGCCCGACCUUUUCCCCCUUCUUUUUGCAACUUUGAGAUUUUUGGCUCUUUUAUGUUGUUUACCUCAAGGUUAAUUUUUUUCAUGUUCAUGUUUAUUGGUUUAGUUUGCUAUUUGUACAGUCAACACAAUAUAAACAUCCAAUAAAAAAGUAAUAGGUAGAAGCUAAUGAAGCUAUUCGAUGCCUUGAAAACUAAGCAAUGACCAUCCUGAUCAGCGUGACAAAGAAAUAGAUAGAAUCAAAUAAACACUUUGUACAAACAGAUAAAAGUAAAUAAAUCUUACAUAAGUGUAUUGUAAUCAUUUACACAAUUACGUUUUAUUUUAUUUUUUUUAAUUGCAAAAGUUUCCUAAACAACAGACAAUUUACAUGUUAAGUUGCUUGAAAUUAAACUAAUGCUAUGUUUGAGUUUUCUUAAUUUUUAAAUUUUUUCCUUGGGGAUCUGAAUAAAAA
Long non-coding RNA from Oryzias melastigma (Indian medaka), 2460 nucleotides. RefSeq lists it as uncharacterized. The record is from RefSeq and is a predicted model, not a curated record. NCBI's taxonomy places the organism in Eukaryota, Metazoa, Chordata, Actinopteri, Beloniformes, Adrianichthyidae. The transcript has 4 exons.